AGAGUUUGAUCUGGCUCAGAAUCAACGCUGGCGGCGUGCCUAACACAUGCAAGUCGAGCGAGAAAGUGGAGCAAUCCAUGAGUAAAGCGGCGACCGGGUGAGUAACACGUGACUAACCUACCUUCGAGUGGGGAAUAACUCCGGGAAACCGGGGCUAAUACCGCAUAACAUCGAAAGAUCAAAGCAGCAAUGCGCUUGAAGAGGGGGUCGCGGCUGAUUAGCUAGUUGGCGGGGUAACGGCCCAUCAAGGCGAAGAUCGGUAUCCGGCCUGAGAGGGCGCACGGACACACUGGAACUGAAACACGGUCCAGACUCCUACGGGAGGCAGCAGUGGGGAAUUUUGCGCAAUGGGGGAAACCCUGACGCAGCAACGCCGCGUGGAGGAUGAAGCCCCUUGGGGCGUAAACUCCUUUCGACCAAGACGAUAAUGACGGUACUGGUGGAAGAAGCACCGGCUAACUCUGUGCCAGCAGCCGCGGUAAUACAGAGGGUGCGAGCGUUGUUCGGAAUUAUUGGGCGUAAAGGGCGCGUAGGCGGCGCAGCAAGUCACCUGUGAAAUCUCCGGGCUUAACUCGGAGCCUGCAGGCGAAACUGCUGUGCUGGAGUAUGGGAGAGGUGCGUGGAAUUCCCGGUG
This 634-nucleotide ribosomal RNA is filed under the name uncultured bacterium. RNAcentral describes it as "bacterial SSU rRNA". It matches the Rfam family "Bacterial small subunit ribosomal RNA", at positions 8 to 675 of the family's 1533-position model. The record is from RNAcentral.